UGCUUAGAUCUCUUCGGAGUGACGAGCUUUUAACUUAGUGGCGGACGGGUGAGUAACACGUGAGCAACCUGCCUUUCAGAGGGGGAUAACGGCUGGAAACGGUCGCUAAUACCGCAUGAUAUAUUGAAUCGGCAUCGGUUUAAUAUCAAAGGAGCAAUCCGCUGAAAGAUGGGCUCGCGUCUGAUUAGAUAGUUGGUGGGGUAACGGCCUACCAAGUCGACGAUCAGUAGCCGGACUGAGAGGUUGAACGGCCACAUUGGGACUGAGAUACGGCCCAGACUCCUACGGGAGGCAGCAGUGGGGAAUAUUGCACAAUGGGGGAAACCCUGAUGCAGCAACGCCGCGUGAAGGAAGACGGUUUUCGGAUUGUAAACUUCUUUUCUUAGUGAAGAAGAAAGUGACGGUAGCUAAGGAAUAAGCAUCGGCUAACUACGUGCCAGCAGCCGCGGUAAUACGUAGGAUGCGAGCGUUAUCCGGAAUUACUGGGUGUAAAGGGAGCGCAGGCGGGACUGCAAGUUGGAUGUGAAAUACCGCAGCUUAACUGCGGAGCUGCAUCCAAAACUGUAGUUCUUGAGUGGAGUAGAGGCAAGCGGAAUUCCGAGUGUAGCGGUGAAAUGCGUAGAUAUUCGGAGGAACACCAGUGGCGAAGGCGGCUUGCUGGGCUCUAACUGACGCUGAGGCUCGAAAGUGUGGGGAGCAAACAAGAUUGGAUACCCUGGUAGUCCACACUG
Molecule: ribosomal RNA, 731 nt
Filed under: uncultured bacterium
Lineage: Bacteria
Description: bacterial SSU rRNA
Rfam family: Bacterial small subunit ribosomal RNA
Source: RNAcentral